GUGGGUCUAAUGGGAAAUUAAAAAUGGCUAACAACCCUGAAUCAGCCAAACUAAUGGAGAGAGCUGCUGCAGCAGUUCUGGACCGAGCCAGAUCUGCACCUAAACCGCCAACGAGAACAUAAACAGAGGAGCUGCAUGACGGUUCCAUAACCGGCAAGUCUAAUGAGCGAUUGGGGGGUGGGGGGUGGGACAUGGACUGGCAAGGAUCAUAAAACAUUCCUCAAUUAAAAAGCAUUCCCACAAGUUUACCCUCCACCGAAUGGUCUGUUAUCGCACAACCUAUAAUGUAUCUUGACGGUGUGAGUUUAUAGUUUUCCUUGAGGAGAUUUAUGCCGAGCUGUAAAAUCUGAUAAUAAGUCUGGUUGUUUGACUGAGAAAUAAAUUUGGACGCAGAUACCCCUGCCACAGAUGCUCCCAUGACAACUUUCUGUUGUUGUUGUUGUUGCUAUUUUUAUCAAAUGUCCUUUUGGAUGACAGAAGAGAAGCAUGCACCAUGAUGAAACAAUGAAUUUGGGUUCAUUACGGGUAAUCCCAGGAAACUCAAAAAAACACUGAUAUGUUGUUUUUUUAAUAAUUUGAAUCAGUGUUGUUCUUUUCAAACCAUUAAAAACUCAGAGGAGUUUUGUGUUGUUGUGAUUGUGAUGUGCCAAAUGUGUAAAAUGUGAUUUUUUGAACAGUUUUUUACACAACACACCAUCGGUUCUGGACCUGUUUGUACAAGCACCCCUGACAGUAUUAUUGAGGGCUUUUGCAGUCCUGCCCCCACAGUGAGCCUGAGUGGGAACACCAUGAAGAUGGAAGACAGAACCAUCACCAGGAGGAUGUUAUCUGUUAUUAUUUCAUCUUUUCCAAUACCAUCUGGUAAUCCUUAGAAAUAUUUUGCAACCCCCAAUGGAGUCAAGACUAGGGCUGGGCGAUAUGGCCUCAAAUCAAUAUCACGAUAUUUUGAUCAGUUCACCUUGAUAACGAUAAAUGGAUGAUAACUUCUCCACAAGCUGCUCACCCCCUCCCACAUUAACUUCUUCUACUUCAGCCGCUACAACUUUCUCUCCGUCCUCCAUCUCCUCACCUGUCUUUCCCUCUUUGUUACAGACUGGAUGGGGCGGAGUCACGUCUCUGACGUAGGACAGCGUCUUAAAGGGACAUGAGACCAUAGCCUACCUACACACAUCCAAAACCAACUUUGUAUUUAUUUAGUUUUUUGACACAGAAUAUAUUGACAUGGGCAAAAUGACGUCGGUUAUUGUUGUAAAUUUCGGUAUCUGUGAAUUUUUGGUUUAUCGUCCAGCCCUAGUCAAGACCCUAAGGUCUUAGAGCUGUAGUGGAAACAAGG
Xyrichtys novacula (pearly razorfish) is the source of this 1333-nucleotide non-coding RNA. Lineage: Eukaryota; Metazoa; Chordata; Actinopteri; Labriformes; Labridae. The record is from the annotation of a GenBank genome assembly.